GAUGAACGCUGACAGAAUGCUUAACACAUGCAAGUCAACUUGAACUUCGGUUUGGGUGGCGGACGGGUGAGUAACGCGUAAAGAACUUGCCUCACAGCCAGGGACAACAUUUGGAAACGAAUGCUAAUACCUGAUAUUAUGAUUAUAUGGCAUCGUAUAAUUAUGAAAGCUAUAUGCGCUGUGAGAGAGCUUUGCGUCCCAUUAGCUAGUUGGAGAGGUAACAGCUCACCAAGGCGAUGAUGGGUAGCCGGCCUGAGAGGGUGAUCGGCCACAAGGGGACUGAGACACGGCCCUUACUCCUACGGGAGGCAGCAGUGGGGAAUAUUGGACAAUGGACCGAGAGUCUGAUCCAGCAAUUCUGUGUGCACGAUGAAGUUUUUCGGAAUGUAAAGUGCUUUCAGUUGGGAAGAAAAAAAUGACGGUACCAACAGAAGAAGCGACGGCUAAAUACGUG
RNAcentral lists this ribosomal RNA (454 nucleotides) under uncultured bacterium. RNAcentral's name for it is "partial 16S ribosomal RNA". It matches the Rfam family "Bacterial small subunit ribosomal RNA", at positions 28 to 507 of the family's 1533-position model. The record is from RNAcentral.